UUGGAGGGCAAGUCUGGUGCCAGCAGCCGCGGUAAUUCCAGCUCCAAUAGCGUAUAUUAAAGUUGUUGCAGUUAAAAAGCUCGUAGUUGUAUUUCGGGGUCAGUAGAUUGGUCAUGCCACUGGUAUGUGCUGGUCUCACUGAUUCCUCCUUCCUGAUGAGCCGUAAUGCCAUUAAUUUGGUGUUGCGAGGAAUCUGGACUGUUACUUUGAAAAAAUUAGAGUGUUUAAAGCAGGCUAACGCUUGAAUACAUUAGCAUGGAAUAAUGAAAUAGGACGUUCGAUCUUAUUUUGUUGGUUUCUAAGAUUGACGUAAUGAUUAAUAGGGAUAGUUGGGGGCAUUAGUAUUCAAUUGUCAGAGGUGAAAUUCUUGGGUUUAUUGAAGACUAACUACUGCGAAAGCAUUUGCCAAGGAUGUUUUCAUUAAUCAAGAACGAAAGUUAGGGGAUCGAAGACGAUCAGAUACCGUCGUAGUCUUAACCAUAAACUAUGCCGACUAGGGAUCGGAUGAUGUUAAUUUUUUAAUGACUCAUUCGGCGCCUUACGGGAAACA
RNAcentral lists this ribosomal RNA (550 nucleotides) under uncultured Glomerales. RNAcentral's name for it is "SSU rRNA". It matches the Rfam family "Eukaryotic small subunit ribosomal RNA", at positions 548 to 1099 of the family's 1831-position model. The record is from RNAcentral. Lineage: Eukaryota; Fungi; Glomeromycota; Glomeromycetes; Glomerales; Glomeraceae.